RNAcentral lists this ribosomal RNA (826 nucleotides) under uncultured bacterium. Its description in RNAcentral is "bacterial SSU rRNA". It matches the Rfam family "Bacterial small subunit ribosomal RNA", at positions 34 to 836 of the family's 1533-position model. The record is from RNAcentral.
CGCUGGCGGCGUGCCUCAUACAUGCAAGUCGAACGCGAAAGCGGCCUUCGGGCCGCGAGUAGAGUGGCAGACGGGUGAGUAACGCGUGGGUGACCUACCUUCGAGUGGGGGACAACCUUCCGAAAGGAAGGCUAAUACCGCAUAAUAUCCCGCCCUUGGAUGGGUGGCGAUCAAAGCCGGGGAUCUUCGGACCUGGCGCUUGUUGACGGACCCGCGUCCGAUUAGCUUGUUGGUAGGGUAACGGCCUACCAAGGCCACGAUCGGUAGCCGGCCUGAGAGGGCGGACGGCCACACUGGGACUGAGAUACGGCCCAGACUUCUACGGGAGGCAGCAGUAGGGAAUUGUUCGCAAUGGGCGAAAGCCUGACGACGCAACGCCGCGUGGAGGACGAAGACCUUCGGGUUGUAAACUCCUGUCGAGCGGGAAGAAUUGCCCGCGGAUUAAUACCCCGCGGGUUUGACGGUACCGCUAAAGGAAGCCCCGGCUAACUCCGUGCCAGCAGCCGCGGUAAUACGGGGGGGGCAAGCGUUGUUCGGAUUUACUGGGCGUAAAGGGCUCGUAGGCGGCCGCUCAAGUCGGUUGUGAAAUCCCCGGGCUCAACUCGGGAAUUGCAGCCGAAACUGGACGGCUAGAAGCCGGGAGAGGGAUGCGGAAUUCCAGGUGUAGCGGUGAAAUGCGUAGAUAUCUGGAGGAACACCCGUGGCGAAGGCGGCAUCCUGGGACCGGUCUUGACGCUGAGGAGCGAAAGCUAGGGUAGCAAACGGGAUUAGAUACCCCGGUAGUCCUAGCCCUAAACGAUGAAUGCUUGGUNCUAACGCGUUAAGC